RNAcentral lists this ribosomal RNA (254 nucleotides) under uncultured bacterium. RNAcentral's name for it is "partial 16S ribosomal RNA". It matches the Rfam family "Bacterial small subunit ribosomal RNA", at positions 524 to 776 of the family's 1533-position model. The record is from RNAcentral.
GACGUAGGGCGCGAGCGUUGUCCGGAUUCAUUGGGCGUAAAGAGCUCGUAGGCGGCUCAGUAAGUCGGGUGUGAAACCUCCAGGCUCAACCUGGAGACGCCACCCGAUACUGCUGUGGCUAGAGUCCAGUAGGGGAGCGUGGAAUUCCUGGUGUAGCGGUGAAAUGCGCAGAUAUCAGGAAGAACACCCGUGGCUAAGGCGGUUCUCUAGUACGGUACUGACGCUGAGACGCGAAAGCGUGGGGAGCGAACAGG